RNAcentral lists this ribosomal RNA (455 nucleotides) under Rhizopus stolonifer. RNAcentral's name for it is "eukaryotic LSU rRNA". It matches the Rfam family "Eukaryotic large subunit ribosomal RNA", at positions 234 to 615 of the family's 3401-position model. The record is from RNAcentral. Lineage: Eukaryota; Fungi; Mucoromycota; Mucoromycetes; Mucorales; Rhizopodaceae.
AUUUUGUCUUUUGCGAUACACUUUCAAAGAGUCAGGUUGUUUGGGAAUGCAGCCUAAAUUGGGUGGUAAAUCUCACCUAAAGCUAAAUAUUGGCGAGAAACCGAUAGCGAACAAGUACCGUGAGGGAAAGAUGAAAAGAACUUUGAAAAGAGAGUUAAACAGUAUGUGAAAUUGUUAAAAGGGAACCGUUUGGAGCCAGACUGGCUUGUCUGUAAUCAAUCUAGGUUUCGUGCCUGGAUGCACUUGCAGACUAUUUGCCUGCCAACGACAAUUUUUUUUGAGUGUAAAAACUAUUGGAAAUGUGGCCAAUAUUUAUUUAUUGGUGUUAUAGUCCUUUAGAAAAUACCUUGAAUUGGAUUGAGGAACGCAGCGAAUGCUUCUCUUUUGAGGCAAAGUCUUUUAUUGGGAUUUACGGAUCAGACUGUGGCAUUGUCACAAGACUUGAAGUUUAAACC